Molecule: ribosomal RNA, 359 nt
Filed under: Klebsiella pneumoniae
Lineage: Bacteria; Pseudomonadati; Pseudomonadota; Gammaproteobacteria; Enterobacterales; Enterobacteriaceae
Description: bacterial SSU rRNA
Rfam family: Bacterial small subunit ribosomal RNA
Source: RNAcentral
UCAAGUCAUCAUGGCCCUUACGACCAGGGCUACACACGUGCUACAAUGGCAUAUACAAAGAGAAGCGACCUCGCGAGAGCAAGCGGACCUCAUAAAGUAUGUCGUAGUCCGGAUUGGAGUCUGCAACUCGACUCCAUGAAGUCGGAAUCGCUAGUAAUCGUAGAUCAGAAUGCUACGGUGAAUACGUUCCCGGGCCUUGUACACACCGCCCGUCACACCAUGGGAGUGGGUUGCAAAAGAAGUAGGUAGCUUAACCUUCGGGAGGGCGCUUACCACUUUGUGAUUCAUGACUGGGGUGAAGUCGUAACAAGGUAACCGUAGGGGAACCUGCGGUUGGAUCACCUCCUUACCUUAAAGAA